Molecule: non-coding RNA, 437 nt
Organism: Arachis ipaensis
Lineage: Eukaryota; Viridiplantae; Streptophyta; Magnoliopsida; Fabales; Fabaceae
Source: RefSeq, a predicted model, not a curated record
CGAAGAAGGAACUUCGUCUUCUAAGAGGGGUGAAGAGAAGACUUUGUCUGGGAGAUGCUUUUGUGGACAGGGUGUGGUGUUGCUACAAUCUGGAACCUUAACAAAUCCUGGGAGAUGGUUCGUAAGGUGUCCUCUAUGAAAGACGAUGGAUUGCAAGUAUUUUGUAUGGGUGGAUGAGAUUGACGGAGGAUGGGAGGGACUGGCAAGAGCCCUUGUUAGAAAAAAUCAAGAUAGCUCAUGUGGUAACCAUGAGGUCAAUCUCACUGGGCAAAGAAGAGAGAUUCAAGAGAAUAGCGUGAAGAUCUUGUUAAAGAUAGGGAAGCUCCAGGGUGAAAUAAAAACUAUUAGGUCAUGGAUUAUAACUAUUUUUUUGAGUUUACUGAUUUGUGUAGGGCUGAAUCUACUCCAAUUAAUCAAUAUGUAACUGUGCUUAUGGU